AUGGUUCAAGGAUGAAAGACGGUUUCGGCUGUCACUUACAGAUGGACCCGCGGCGCAUUAGCUAGUUGGUGAGGUAACGGCUCACCAAGGCGACGAUGCGUAGCCGACCUGAGAGGGUGAUCGGCCACACUGGGACUGAGACACGGCCCAGACUCCUACGGGAGGCAGCAGUAGGGAAUCUUCCGCAAUGGACGAAAGUCUGACGGAGCAACGCCGCGUGAGUGAUGAAGGUUUUCGGAUCGUAAAGCUCUGUUGUUAGGGAAGAACAAGUGCAAGAGUAACUGCUUGCACCUUGACGGUACCUAACCAGAAAGCCACGGCUAACUACGUGCCAGCAGCCGCGGUAAUACGUAGGUGGCAAGCGUUGUCCGGAAUUAUUGGGCGUAAAGGGCUCGCAGGCGGUUUCUUAAGUCUGAUGUGAAAGCCCCCGGCUCAACCGGGGAGGGUCAUUGGAAACUGGGAAACUUGAGUGCAGAAGAGGAGAGUGGAAUUCCACGUGUAGCGGUGAAAUGCGUAGAGAUGUGGAGGAACACCAGUGGCGAAGGCGACUCUCUGGUCUGUAACUGACGCUGAGGAGCGAAAGCGUGGGGAGCGAACAGGAUUAGAUACCCUGGUAGUCCACGCCGUAAACGAUGAGUGCUAAGUGUUAGGGGGUUUCCGCCCCUUAGUGCUGCAGCUAACGCAUUAAGCACUCCGCCUGGGGAGUACGGUCGCAAGACUGAAACUCAAAGGAAUUGACGGGGGCCCGCACAAGCGGUGGAGCAUGUGGUUUAAUUCGAAGCAACGCGAAGAACCUUACCAGGUCUUGACAUCCUCUGACAACCCUAGAGAUAGGGCUUUCCCUUCGGGGACAGAGUGACAGGUGGUGCAUGGUUGUCGUCAGCUCGUGUCGUGAGAUGUUGGGUUAAGUCCCGCAACGAGCGCAACCCUUGAUCUUAGUUGCCAGCAUUUAGUUGGGCACUCUAAGGUGACUGCCGGUGACAAACCGGAGGAAGGUGGGGAUGACGUCAAAUCAUCAUGCCCCUUAUGACCUGGGCUACACACGUGCUACAAUGGACAGAACAAAGGGCUGCGAGACCGCAAGGUUUAGCCAAUCCCACAAAUCUGUUCUCAGUUCGGAUCGCAGUCUGCAACUCGACUGCGUGAAGCUGGAAUCGCUAGUAAUCGCGGAUCAGCAUGCCGCGGUGA
RNAcentral lists this ribosomal RNA (1188 nucleotides) under Bacillus stratosphericus. RNAcentral's name for it is "bacterial SSU rRNA". It matches the Rfam family "Bacterial small subunit ribosomal RNA", at positions 189 to 1365 of the family's 1533-position model. Lineage: Bacteria; Bacillati; Bacillota; Bacilli; Caryophanales; Bacillaceae. The record is from RNAcentral.